UGCAGUCGAGCGGACCGACGGGAGCUUGCUCCCUUAGGUCAGCGGCGGACGGGUGAGUAACACGUGGGUAACCUGCCUGUAAGACUGGGAUAACUCCGGGAAACCGGGGCUAAUACCGGAUGCUUGAUUGAACCGCAUGGUUCAAUCAUAAAAGGUGGCUUUUAGCUACCACUUACAGAUGGACCCGCGGCGCAUUAGCUAGUUGGUGAGGUAACGGCUCACCAAGGCGACGAUGCGUAGCCGACCUGAGAGGGUGAUCGGCCACACUGGGACUGAGACACGGCCCAGACUCCUACGGGAGGCAGCAGUAGGGAAUCUUCCGCAAUGGACGAAAGUCUGACGGAACAACGCCGCGUGAGUGAUGAAGGUUUUCGGAUCGUAAAACUCUGUUGUUAGGGAAGAACAAGUACCGUUCGAAUAGGGCGGUACCUUGACGGUACCUAACCAGAAAGCCACGGCUAACUACGUGCCAGCAGCCGCGGUAAUACGUAGGUGGCAAGCGUUGUCCGGAAUUAUUGGGCGUAAAGCGCGCGCAGGCGGUUUCUUAAGUCUGAUGUGAAAGCCCCCGGCUCAACCGGGGAGGGUCAUUGGAAACUGGGGAACUUGAGUGCAGAAGAAGAGAGUGGAAUUCCACGUGUAGCGGUGAAAUGCGUAGAGAUGUGGAGGAACACCAGUGGCGAAGGCGACUCUCUGGUCUGUAACUGACGCUGAAGCGCGAAAGCGUGGGGAGCGAACAGGAUUAGAUACCCUGGUAGUCCACGCCGUAAACGAUGAGUGCUAAGUGUUAGAGGGUUUCCGCCCUUUAGUGCUGCAAGCAACGCAUUAAGCACUCC
RNAcentral lists this ribosomal RNA (833 nucleotides) under bacterium. Its description in RNAcentral is "bacterial SSU rRNA". It matches the Rfam family "Bacterial small subunit ribosomal RNA", at positions 56 to 870 of the family's 1533-position model. The record is from RNAcentral.